CAAUCUUUAGUUUGAACCCUUCUCUCUGUUGCAGGUUGUGGUGAGCAGAGUGACGGGAUAACAGAGCUGAGGGGAAGGAUGUGGAAGGAGAGGAAUAGAAAGUGAAAAGAUAAAGGAAAAGCACACCUCAAAGGGUAGGAGGCACGAGAGCAGCAUAACUGGAAAGAAAAGACCAGGGACUGAAGAAGAAACUUUAAGGAAUAAAAAUAUGGGAAUUAAAGAAUAAAAAUCCUCCCACUCCUUAAUGCACAUCUGCAGGAGAUGAACCAUCGCAGUUAUCAUGCAAGCCUGUGCACUGUCUGUGCACUUGAACACUCCACUGGGCAAAGAAGCUGGCGGAAGGUAGUAAGGCUCCAGCAAUACAGUAGAGAGAAGUUAAAAUGUACAAUAGGACCAAAGGGAAAGGAUCAGAGAAAUCCCUCAAUGGCAACUAUUCUACUCUCAAAGGAGCUAUCUAGAAAUGCUUGUGCCAGAAAUCCCACUGGACCUUGGGCCUGCAUCUAGUGAAUACACCCAACAUCCUACAACUCCUUUUUGCAGGGGGUAAGAAAACACCAGCGUGGUAGUUCUGCUGAUGUAACAGAUUAUCCUUACAUGGGACAAGAGGAAUAUUGACCACAGUGUAGAGCUUGGAUUUUUUUACUUGUUACUUUAUUGAAGAUAUGGUUCUAAAAAACAUUUUGUUCUAAUUAGCCGCUCAUUAUUUGCUAGGAUUCUUCACCAUUUUUGGAGCUGAUUAUUCAUUUCUCUGGAUGUUAAAGCAUUUCUUUUUUUUUUUCCCCCACUAGUUUUGCCUUUUGUGCAUUUAGUCCUCCCUAUAGUCUUUGCAUCAAAACUCCAGUAAACCAAUCUCCUCAGAUGGGAAAAAACACAAUGUGGGUAUUCUCUUUACUCUCUUCAUCCUUGACCUAUUUUAUAUGGGGGAGGGGGUAGUUUAUUUUGGGUUUUGUUUGUUUUUUGCUAGGCUGGUGAGGUUUUUGUUGGUGUGUUUUUUGAGGGGUUUUUUUUGGUUGGUUGGUUUUGUUGUUGUGUUUGGGAUUUUUUUGUCCUUGUCUUUCUUCCUAAAAUUGUUAUGACAAACUGUGAAAGUACUUGAUAGUCUCUCUACUAAACCUUUUGAAAUUAAUCAAUUCAUUUCAUAUCGCCAUCAAAACUGUUUUACUCACAGUUAUUUUCUCAGCAACAUAAUUGCCCCUGUUCUCUAGUUUGUCCUCACUGGCGUAAAAGGUGAAUGUCUGCAGAACAUUGGAUCCAGCUCUGAGGAAUUCCCGGUGAAGCUGACGAACUGCAAAACAAGAGACAAAGAAGAGAUGUCUGGUGCACUCAUUACUGUGUUACCCCAAAAUCAAAUGUUUAUUGUUGUAAUGUUACUGUAAAAUAAGUGAUACUGUGUUUACUAGAAGAGCCAUUAUGAGAACGCAGAAGCAGUACCCCAGUUUGUGUAGAACUUCUUUCUACUCACUCUCAGAACAUUAGGUAGAAAACUUUCUCCUUAAUUUUUCUUUGCUAAGAAUGACUGAAGAUUUCUAUUUAAUUAGCAGAUUCAGCUUUGCCUGCCACCUUGCCUAUCUUCUACUUUGUGCAGUCCUUCAGACUUCCCAGUUAUAAAGAUGCACAGUGAUUUAGGAAGGGAAAGCAGACAUAUAACAGAAGAACAUGAAAGCAACAAGGAAUACCAGACAAAAAGAUCAUCAAAUGAAACAGCCGCAUUUUCUUAGCUUCUAGACUAUGAAGAAGAAAACAGAAGAAACUAUUAGGACAACAAAUUAAGGGACAAGAGGAUAUUUAUACAGAAGAAUACGGUGUUUUAUUACUUCCCUUAUUUUGUAUUUUUGAGUUUUCUCCCUUGACAAAACUCUAAAAGAGUCUAGUCAGCCAAAACCAAAGCUCUGUUUUGCUAAAUACACCCUUAAUUAAAAGAUGCUUCCUUGCUCCAGAAAAGUGACUCACAACACAAAGUUAAUUCUUCUCAUAUGUCUGCAGAUGAUCAUUUUACUACGGAGACAACAUUUUCUUUAAAGGAAAGGUUGCCAUUACUUUUAAUGGACAAAUUUCCUACAUUAGGACUUUGGGAGUAGGCUCUGCAAUGAUAGUUUGUGCCUUCCUGGCUGUAAGCAGUACACUGUGAUUGCCACAGCAGGAGCAGAACUGGAACUGUCAAUUGAUUUUAUAUGUAUAUCCACAGAAUAAGAAUUAUAAUAAUGUCUAGAACACCACUGAUUGUGUAAAACAGAGGUAAAUGCUUGACAGCUUAUACCAAAUAUAGGAAUAAUUUAUUCCCUAGAUACUGUACACAAGAUACUUACUUUCUACAUGCACAAGAAAACUGCAGUUUCUGUGGCAGAUGUUUAGUAAAGGUUUCCUGAAGACCAGAUUUAUCAUAACUCAUUGUCUAUGGACAGCCUGAGUCAUUAAGAAAAUGCGCGAAUUUGUCAUGAGUAUAAAAUCAGCAGUUUGAGUUGCAAGAAUCAACUUGCAUACGUGCAGGCAUGUUUGCUUUCACUGAAGGAUCAAUGAAAGUGUAGUGUCCUUGCUUUUCGCUAGUAGUACAGUAUUUAAUUUCUAAUUACAGCCUUGUAAUUACUCCACUGUGAUUUAACACAGUGCUCCUUUUCUCAGCAGUCACAAAGAUCUUUUCAGGAACAUAGGUUACAGUAGAGCUACAUUUCAAAAAGUCCCUGAGAGUUGGUUAGAGCCUGGUGCUAGUAAUGCCAAGGUUGUGGUUUCAAUCCCUGUGGGGCCAUUCAUUUAAGGGUUGGACUCGAUGAUCUUUGUGGGCCCCUUCCAAGUCAGAAUAUUCUGUGAUACUGUGAAAAGCCCCUGGAAUCUGCAUGAACUGGUGGGAUCAAAUUUCAUUCUUACACUUUAACAAAGAGACAAAGAUUCAUAAUUCAGGGAGUAUUCUUUUCCCUACACCAUUACAAUAGGCUACUGAUCCCAAAUAUAAGGGCUAUCUCUGUAUGUUUCUAGUGCUCUGUAAUUUCUGUUUCUAUUCCCCUCAGUGAGAAAGCAUUGAUGAAAACCAGUCAGGAAAUGGAGAAAGGAAAAAACAAAUCUACAAAUAUUUUCAUAAAUCUUCUAUGAUAUUCAAUAGUAGACCAGAUUUGUUUACCCCCAUGGUUGGUGGCUUUAAAUAUGGUUCUAGCAUUCCUAGAAGAUUGCCUGGUAUUUGUGUGAAUAAGGAUGGUGACAUAAGUAUGCAAAUGAAACACAAUCUAACACAUGGGAUUAAGGAACUUCAUACCCUAAAAUAUCAGAUAUGAGAACAGGAGGCUCUUGAAUGGGUCUACAUUUUCAGGGAAAAAAUGAGCCUGAAUCUCAUUUAACCCCAGGCAGAUCAUUUUUUACCAGAAGAAUGAAUGCACUGUUGUUGGUAUCAAACCCACAGCAUGAUGCACUAUCAAAACCACAAACCACUCGGUAAUUUACUUGUGUGACUUCCAGCAUGCUAGUGAAACUGUGUUUCCCUCCAGCAUUUGAGAAAUGGGGCUAAUAGCCACAUAUGAGACUAAACCAUUGUUAAUAAUCUUAUGCAUUUUAGAAGUCAGGUGUAUAACAUAAAACACUAAGUUUUAAUUUCACUCUGCCGUGAGUUGGACAUUCCGUAAAAGACAGAUAGAGGCUAACAAGAGAUAGGGGCAAUAAGCACUACCUGAUCUGUCUCAGAAGAAAUAUUUAGAUCUCAUUUCUAAACUUGUCAGUUUGGUGAAACUCCUCUCCAGUAGUACAGAUAAUGGCCUCAAAGUCACUUUUUUUAAAUUUGGGUGGUUUUUUUUUUAAUCCCUUGCUGCAUUCUCAGAACCUCCCACCUUUUCCUUCUUUCCUUAUAAAAACAAGAAGCUCUGGUAGUUUGUAUGGUUUUUACAUCCACUGGCUCAGCCAGUUGCUCCUUGUGUUCUUUACACCUGCUUUCAAAGUAACGUGACCCUUGGGCAUGCAGAAGCAAAAAAGCAAUAAUGGAGAGGAGGCAGCCCCCCACCCCGCACAAAAAUCAGUGAAUACAUUUCCACUGAAGGGUGUAUUUAUAAAUAGCCUGUAAGAGACAUGUGGAGAGGGUCAAGGGCUUUUGAGGUGGAAAAUAACAAGCAAAGGGGAAAUAAAGAGCAUGGGAUAAGUGCUAUGAGUUGUAAGUUGGAACGUGCAGAGGCAGACAAAGUUAGAGGUGGAAACAAACAGAAAGAGAGAUAAUGGAAUUCUCUUUGGGAUGAGCAAAGAGAGUCAGCAAAUUAGGUCAUCAAUCCUUAAACCUUUACUGGAGCUCUGCACUAUCUAAAGCUGUCCAUAACCCUAAAUUAGGCAUGCUACACAUAAGUGACACUUGAAGCCUCAGAGGAAUUAGAUUGAAUGAAUAGGUAAGGUGUACAAAGCAAUACAACAGGGAGAGCUAAGAAUCUCUCCUUCCCCUCUCUUCCUUCUUCCCAUGUGUAGAAGGAAAAGACUAAUUUGGAAGGGCAAACACAGAACAAAGAAAAUUUUUUCCCCCAGGAUAUUCUGAAUUGGCUUGUGGGAUUAACUGCACAUCGUAUUAUUAGUGCAAAUGCUUUCUUGUAAUGAAGCAUACAUAAAUAGUUAAUAGCAUCUGCUUCUGCACUAUUUAUGCUAAACACUAUAAUCUUUAUGCUGGAAGGCGUGGAAUAGUUGUUCAUUUUUGUCUCCAUCCACUUUAAGAGUGUUACUCCAUUAUCUGUUUAUUGCAAUUUUUAGGUUCUUUUGAGGUCUAUCAUUCCCCAUUUCAUAGUGGAGCCAGAAACAUUAAAUACUCCCAUUACAAUGUUUAUUAAAAACUGUUAUUUCUCUGAAAGAAUAAAAAAACUAUUUUAGUUUAUAAAUAUGUAAGAGUCCUAGAAUGACUAAACCAAAACAAAACAGAUGGUUAACUGCAGAAUUCUUUUCCCUGAGAUGUUAUAAAUCAUAAGCUUUAAAUGAUCAGCUCUAGGACAGACUGGACAAAUUCAUGACUGAGAAAUCACCUAAUGUUAUUAAACACAAAUGUAACCACAUCUGCAAUAAAAAGUCCCUGAGAUGCAAAUUA
Long non-coding RNA from Pseudopipra pipra, 5032 nucleotides. RefSeq lists it as uncharacterized. The transcript is spliced from 2 exons. NCBI's taxonomy places the organism in Eukaryota, Metazoa, Chordata, Aves, Passeriformes, Pipridae. The record is from RefSeq and is a predicted model, not a curated record.